This 445-nucleotide ribosomal RNA is filed under the name uncultured Streptococcus sp. RNAcentral describes it as "bacterial SSU rRNA". It matches the Rfam family "Bacterial small subunit ribosomal RNA", at positions 936 to 1382 of the family's 1533-position model. The record is from RNAcentral. Lineage: Bacteria; Bacillati; Bacillota; Bacilli; Lactobacillales; Streptococcaceae.
AGCAUGUGGUUCAAUUCGAUGCAACGCGAAGAACCUUACCAGGUCUUGACAUCCCGAUGCUAUUUCUAGAGAUAGAAAGUUACUUCGGUACAUCGGUGACAGGUGGUGCAUGGUUGUCGUCAGCUCGUGUCGUGAGAUGUUGGGUUAAGUCCCGCAACGAGCGCAACCCCUAUUGUUAGUUGCCAUCAUUCAGUUGGGCACUCUAGCGAGACUGCCGGUAAUAAACCGGAGGAAGGUGGGGAUGACGUCAAAUCAUCAUGCCCCUUAUGACCUGGGCUACACACGUGCUACAAUGGUUGGUACAACGAGUUGCGAGUCGGUGACGGCGAGCUAAUCUCUUAAAGCCAAUCUCAGUUCGGAUUGUAGGCUGCAACUCGCCUACAUGAAGUCGGAAUCGCUAGUAAUCGCGGAUCAGCACGCCGCGGUGAAUACGUUCCCGGGCCUU